Molecule: ribosomal RNA, 72 nt
Filed under: Chloroflexota bacterium
Lineage: Bacteria; Bacillati; Chloroflexota
Description: Chloroflexi bacterium (marine sediment metagenome) partial 16S ribosomal RNA
Rfam family: Bacterial small subunit ribosomal RNA
Source: RNAcentral
UCGGGUUUGGUGACUGGGACGAAGUCGUAACAAGGUAGCUGUACCGGAAGGUGCGGCUGGAUCACCUCCUUU